Molecule: ribosomal RNA, 253 nt
Filed under: uncultured bacterium
Lineage: Bacteria
Description: partial 16S ribosomal RNA
Rfam family: Bacterial small subunit ribosomal RNA
Source: RNAcentral
UACGGAGGGGACUAGCGUUGUUCGGAAUUACUGGGCGUAAAGCGCACGUAGGCGGAUUUGUAAGUCAGGGGUGAAAUCCCGGGGCUCAACCUCGGAACUGCCUUUGAUACUGCAAAUCUCGAGUCCGGAAGAGGUGAGUGGAAUUCCUAGUGUAGAGGUGAAAUUCGUAGAUAUUAGGAAGAACACCAGUGGCGAAGGCGGCUCACUGGCCCGAUACUGACGCUGAGGUGCGAAAGCGUGGGGAGCAAACAGG